GACGAACGCUGGCGGCGCGCUUAACACAUGCAAGUCGAACGGAAAGGCCUUCUUUCCCUUGUGUAUUGCGGGUACUCGAGUGGCGAACGGGUGAGUAACACGUGAGUUAUCUGCCCCCAACUUGUGUAUAAGCCUGGGAAACUGGGUCUAAUUCCCGAUAGGACUGCAGGGUGGUGCCUGUGGUUGAAAACGAUUUUCUAGUGGUUGGGGAUGAGCUCGCGGCCUAUCAGCUUGUUGGUGGGGUAAUGUCCUACCAAGGCGGCGACGGGUAGCCGGCCUGGGAGAGUCGACGGCCACAGUGGGACUGAGAUACGGGGCAGACUACUACGGGAGGAAGCAGUGGGGAAUAUGGCACAAUGGGCGGAAGCCUGAUGCAGCGACGCCGCGUGGGGGAUGACGGGCUUCGGGUUAUGAACUCCUUUCGACAGCGAGGAAGCCACCUGGUUGGAAGGGUGGUGACGGUAGUGGUAGAAGAAGCACCGGCUAACUACGUG
RNAcentral lists this ribosomal RNA (494 nucleotides) under uncultured bacterium. RNAcentral describes it as "partial 16S ribosomal RNA". It matches the Rfam family "Bacterial small subunit ribosomal RNA", at positions 28 to 507 of the family's 1533-position model. The record is from RNAcentral.